RNAcentral lists this ribosomal RNA (253 nucleotides) under uncultured bacterium. Its description in RNAcentral is "partial 16S ribosomal RNA". It matches the Rfam family "Bacterial small subunit ribosomal RNA", at positions 524 to 776 of the family's 1533-position model. The record is from RNAcentral.
UACGUAGGUGGCAAGCGUUGUCCGGAUUUACUGGGCGUAAAGAGCGCGCAGGCGGUCGAUUUAGUCGCGUGUGAAAGCCCCCGGCUCAACUGGGGAGGGUCACGCGAUACUGAUCGACUCGAAGGCAGGAGAGGGUAGUGGAAUUCCCGGUGUAGUGGUGAAAUGCGUAGAUAUCGGGAGGAACACCAGUGGCGAAGGCGGCUCACUGGCCCGAUACUGACGCUGAGGUGCGAAAGCGUGGGGAGCAAACAGG